Molecule: ribosomal RNA, 514 nt
Filed under: bacterium
Lineage: Bacteria
Description: bacterial SSU rRNA
Rfam family: Bacterial small subunit ribosomal RNA
Source: RNAcentral
CAGGACGAACGCUGGCGGCGUGCCUAAUACAUGCAAGUCGAACGCUUCUUUCCUCCCGAGUGCUUGCACUCAAUUGGAAAGAGGAGUGGCGGACGGGUGAGUAACACGUGGGUAACCUACCCAUCAGAGGGGGAUAACACUUGGAAACAGGUGCUAAUACCGCAUAACAGUUUAUGCCGCAUGGCAUAAGAGUGAAAGGCGCUUUCGGGUGUCGCUGAUGGAUGGACCCGCGGUGCAUUAGCUAGUUGGUGAGGUAACGGCUCACCAAGGCCACGAUGCAUAGCCGACCUGAGAGGGUGAUCGGCCACACUGGGACUGAGACACGGCCCAGACUCCUACGGGAGGCAGCAGUAGGGAAUCUUCGGCAAUGGACGAAAGUCUGACCGAGCAACGCCGCGUGAGUGAAGAAGGUUUUCGGAUCGUAAAACUCUGUUGUUAGAGAAGAACAAGGACGUUAGUAACUGAACGUCCCCUGACGGUAUCUAACCAGAAAGCCACGGCUAACUACGUGCCA